ACGAACGCUGGCGGCGUGCUUAACACAUGCAAGUCGAACGGAAAGGCCCUUCGGGGUCCUCGAGUGGCGAACGGGUGAGUAACACGUGGGUGAUCUGCCCUGCACUUUGGGAUAAGCCUGGGAAACUGGGUCUAAUACCGAAUAGGACCACGCGCUUCAUGGUGUGUGGUGGAAAGCUUUUGCGGUGUGGGAUGGGCCCGCGGCCUAUCAGCUUGUUGGUGGGGUAAUGGCCUACCAAGGCGACGACGGGUAGCCGGCCUGAGAGGGUGACCGGCCACACUGGGACUGAGAUACGGCCCAGACUCCUACGGGAGGCAGCAGUGGGGAAUAUUGCACAAUGGGCGCAAGCCUGAUGCAGCGACGCCGCGUGAGGGAUGACGGCCUUCGGGUUGUAAACCUCUUUCACCAGGGACGAAGCGUAAGUGACGGUACCUGGAGAAGAAGCACCGGCCAACUACGUG
RNAcentral lists this ribosomal RNA (461 nucleotides) under uncultured bacterium. RNAcentral's name for it is "partial 16S ribosomal RNA". It matches the Rfam family "Bacterial small subunit ribosomal RNA", at positions 29 to 507 of the family's 1533-position model. The record is from RNAcentral.